GAUGAAGAACGUAGCGAAAUGCGAUAAGUAAUGUGAAUUGCAGAAUUCAGUGAAUCAUCGAAUCUUUGAACGCACAUUGCGCCCGUCAGUAUUCUGGCGGGCAUGCCUGUUCGAGCGUCAUUACGCCCCUCAAGUCCCCUGUGGACUUGGUGUUGGGGAUCGGCGAGGCUGGUUUUCCAGCACAGCCGUCCCUUAAAUUAAUUGGCGGUCUCGCCGUGGCCCUCCUCUGCGCAGUAGUAAAACACUCGCAACAGGAGCCCGGCGCGGUCCACUGCCGUAAAACCCCCCAACUUUUUAUAGUUGACCUCGAAUCAGGUAGGACUACCCGCUGAACUUAAGCAUAUCAAUAAGCGGACGA
Molecule: unclassified non-coding RNA, 358 nt
Filed under: soil metagenome
Description: partial contains 5.8S ribosomal RNA, internal transcribed spacer 2, and large subunit ribosomal RNA
Rfam family: 5.8S ribosomal RNA (bases 1-120)
Source: RNAcentral